GAGCUUGAUCCUGGCUCAGGAUGAACGCUAGCGGGACGCCUAACACAUGCAAGUCAAACGGAUUUUAUUUUGUAGCAAUACGAGAUAAAAUUAGUGGCAAACGAGCGAGUAACGCGUACUUAACCUGCCCCAAAGAUGGGAACAACUAUGGAGACAUAGCUAAUUCCCAAUAUUGUCUGGUGAAUGAAAAUAGCCAGACCAAAGAUUUAUCGCUUUGGGGGGGGGGUGCGUCCUAUCAUGGUAGUUGGUGGGGUAAUGGCCUACCAAGCCUUUGACGGGUAGCCGGUCUAAGAUGAUGUUCGGCCGCGAUGGAACUGAGAUACGGUCCAUACUCCUACGGGAGGCAGCAGUGGGGAAUCUUGCACAAUGGACGAAAGUCUGAUGCAGCGAUCCCGCGUGGAGGAUGAAGCCCUAUGGGGUGUAAACUCCUUUUCUGGUGGAAGAAGAAUGACGGUACACCAAGAAUAAGAGACGGCUAACUACGUGCCAGCACCCGCGGUAAUACGUAGGUCUCGAGCGUUAUCCGGAUUUACUGGGCGUAAAGUGUCCGUAGCCCGACAUACAAGUCUGUUUUCAGAUACUCUGACUCAAUCAGAGAAAGGGGAUAGAUACUGUAUAUCUAGAGAUUAUUAGAGGUUAGUGGAAUUUCCGGUGGAGCGGUGAAAUGUGUUGAUGUCGGAAAGAAUGCCGAAAGCGAAAGCAGCUAACUAUGAUACAUCUGACGGUGAUGGACGAAAGCUUGGGGAGCAAACGGGAUUAGAUACCCCGGUAGUCCAAGCUGUAAAUUAUGUUUGCUAGGUGUCUUCUCCUAUAAUUAUGUUUGUCAUAGAUAAAUGUAACUAUAGGAGGGGGUGCCGUAACCUAAACGGGUUAAGCAAAUCGCCUGGGUAGUAUAUUCGCAAGAUAUCAAACUCGGGAGGGAUAGGUCGGGGGUAC
Molecule: ribosomal RNA, 936 nt
Filed under: uncultured candidate division SR1 bacterium
Lineage: Bacteria; Candidatus Absconditibacteriota
Description: bacterial SSU rRNA
Rfam family: Bacterial small subunit ribosomal RNA
Source: RNAcentral